Long non-coding RNA from Heterocephalus glaber (naked mole-rat), 3085 nucleotides. The record is from Ensembl. Lineage: Eukaryota; Metazoa; Chordata; Mammalia; Rodentia; Bathyergidae.
UCUGGCCGCCGGCCCGUCGGCCCUGCAAAGUUGAACGCCAAUUCCCCCUGCGUCCUGUGUGGGCUGGGCGAUCCCUCCCUGCGCUGCUGCUCAAAGCAGCCCUGCCGGGCGGCCAGGCAAAACCAGAGAGCGCCUUGACCAUCUAGAUCCCAGGCAGGAGCUAGAGACUUCCAGGCCCAGCCUUGGAGCAGCCCAGAGCUUUCUAGAGAGAUCCCAGCCCCAGUUCCGUCCAGGCCCCUGGGGGCCUCCACUUGCCCUCUUUCCCCUUGUUUGCAAAGUGAACCCCAUAACCUAGAAAGUCGCCAACUCAGUGGGUCCCAGGGGAGCUGUGACUCUCACUGAAGCAAUACUAGGGCUUCAGAACUGUGCAUGGAAUACCAGGUGGUUCUCCAGGCCUUUCAAGGCCAACCUCAGCCUGGAAACGGAUUCCUCUGUCCUGAGGGCCGUCCAGGUCUUGCAUCUCCGUGUAGCCACUGUAGGCCCAGCUCCACAUCAGGCUCAGACAGCAGAGAAACCCCCAUCAAAUCCAAGCCUGGGCUGCAGGAAGUUUCCACUCUUGGCAAUAAAACCAAUUGGGUUUUAUAAAGAGGGAAGUUGUGGGAGGCAUGCAGAGGACAUGCAGGAAUACUUGUUGAUGAAAACCACAAAGAAGCAAAGAAGGUGAAGGACAGGGGAGAGGGAGAACAGGGAGCAAGGGGCACAGAGGUAGGUGAGCUCAAAGGAGUGUUUAUAAGCACCUGCUGUUUGCCUGGAGCUCUACUGCCUUGUGCAGUUUUGCAUUUCAGUUUUGUGAUCAUCUUGACAAUGAGGAGCAGUAAUCACCAUCCGACAUGAGUAUCUGACCCCUAGGGAGGGUUCCAAACUAGCCAAGGGCACUCAGCCAGGAUGUGGCAGGUUCAAGGCCAGGUCAAAGUCCAGCACCAGAAAUUCUUUCACCUAAUGUGCAACUUCCCAGGAGUUUGGUGGCUGCCUCUGCACUUUGAUUUGAUGGCCCUGGCCUGGCUCUUCAACACCUCCUCCUUGCAAUGACUAAAUGAUAGCCACUCCUUUCAUAAGGGCACAGGGCCUCUAGAAGGGGUCUGAUGUGGAUGAAAUGGUGCCAUAAACUGUCCAUCCCCACUAAACACAGGGGCUGGAACUUACUCCCAAUGUAAGGGGAUCACCCAGAAACAAUAUCAGGACUUUUCUUCUUUUCUUUUCCUUUUGCAAGAAGAAAUGCCAUCAAACGAAUAGUAUUGUUCUAGGGACCAGAAGAGCUUGCAGUUAAAAAAUCUUUACCAGUUACAAUUUUGAUAACAUUUUAUAAAUGAGGAAAUUGAGGUUUAGGGAGGCAAAGUGACUUGCUCAGUCUCAAACACUUGGUCCAUCUUUGUCCCAGGUAUGAGCUCUCUAUCAUCACAGAGCACUCUGGCCUACAUUCUGGUGAUAGAGCAGAACUCUAUCCUGCUACCCACUACUGCCUAGGGAGAGAUUCCCAGUUUCUCCGCAGAAAAGAUGAUGUGUGGUCCCAAUCCUGCCCACUUUAUAUGAUGCUCUUAGGCAGUUAAAAUCUGUCCACCAGAGACAAAGGGUUAGCACCUGUCCUCACUCCUUCCUUGUGGGAAGACAAGGGCAGGUUACUUAACCUCUCUGAGCUUUGUUUUCCUCUUCUGAGGAUAGGGACAAAAAUAACACUUACCAUGUGGCACGACUGACACAAGUGGAUAAUACCCUUGUGGCACGAGGGGAUACCUCAGCACGUGUUUCCUAAAGCUAUAGAGAAGACACCAUGAAUUGGUGAACUAAAGCAUCUGGCCCACAUUUUGAGCAGUUAUCAUCACCAUCAUCCUCACUGCCUCCCUCAACUGUAAGGAAAACACCCAAUUUCAUUCUCAGAUGUUUGAUGUCCUAAGGGAGUGAGCAGAGAUAGGAUGUCUGGUUCCUCCACUGCUGACUUUCUGUGUGAUCUUAGAUGAGUCACUAGCCUCUCGGGGACCCUGUUUCCCUAUAUGUUCAUUCAUCUAUUUGCUUACUAUUUGCUUACCCAUCCAACUGCACAUCCAUCCACCAACCCAUCCACCCAUCCAUCUACCCACCUAUCCAUCCACUCAUCCAUCUACCCACCUAUCCACCAAUCCACCUAUCCACCUAUCCAUCCAUCCAUUCGUCCAUCCACUCACCCAUCCACCCAUCCACCCACCCACUCAUGCACCUAUCCAUCCAUCCACCCAUCCAUCCACCUACCCAUCCACCCACUCAUGCAUCUAUCAGUUAUCUAUAAAUUUUGUUUGCACAUCUCCUAUGCAUUGAGUGGCUCUUAGGUUCUGGGAGUGCAGCAAGCUCCUGCCUCUUGCUCUCUGGAGGUGAUCGUACAUGAAAGUCUAGCAACACAAGGGCCCAACUCUUUCUCACCACUAAUGCUCUAUUCCUGGGAAGGCAGUACAGCACAGUGGUUAAACGCUGGGCUUUGUAACUCAAUAGACCUCAAUUUGAAUGGUUUCUUUCCUAUUAACAGCCAUGGAACCUUGAACAGCUGGUGUAAACUCUUUGAAACUUUUUCAGUAAAGACCAUCAUUUAAGAAUCAAUGUUACACCUUAUUUACACUUUCAGUUUCUCACACUAGAGAAACCAUUUGGUAUUUACACAUGUGUCCUAUUUAUUUCACUUAAGAAUAUGGCCUCAAAAUGAUUAAAAUGAAUAAUUGAUAAUUUGAAAUAGGAAAAGGUCCAAAGGUAUAGGGGUGGUGGGAGGGGAAGGGGAAAUGAAAGAAGGGAAAGGAAAUAUUAUGAGAAAAGAAAAAAAAAUGGAACCAAAAUCUAUGUAAAUAGGGAAGGGUGGAGGGGGUGAAGGGUGCACAGGUAAUGGGGGAAAAAAUAGGAACCAAGAUACAUCAUGUACAGGUACACGCACCCAAUGAUAAAUGUAAAUGCAUUGUACCUAAAAUGUGCCAAUAAAAGAAUUUAAGGAAAAAAAGAAUAAAUGUUACAAUUAUUAUAAAUUAUUUAGGGGUAGUGCACAUAUCACAUAGUAAACUUCCAUCCAUCCAUUUAUACAUCCACCCAUCCUUUCAACAAAUGUAUUGUGAGCACCUAUCCAUGUACCAGC